GUGGGGAAUUUUGGACAAUGGGCGCAAGCCUGAUCCAGCAAUGCCGCGUGUGUGAAGAAGGCCUUCGGGUUGUAAAGCACUUUUGUCCGGAAAGAAAUCUCCUGGGUUAAUACCUCGGGGGGAUGACGGUACCGGAAGAAUAAGCACCGGCUAACUACGUGCCAGCAGCCGCGGUAAUACGUAGGGUGCGAGCGUUAAUCGGAAUUACUGGGCGUAAAGCGUGCGCAGGCGGCUAUGCAAGACAGAUGUGAAAUCCCCGGGCUCAACCUGGGAACUGCAUUUGUGACUGCAUGGCUAGAGUGCGUCAGAGGGAGGUGGAAUUCCGCGUGUAGCAGUGAAAUGCGUAGAGAUGCGGAGGAACACCGAUGGCGAAGGCAGCCUCCUGGGAUAACACUGACGCUCAGGCACGAAAGCGUGGGGAGCAAACAGGAUUAGAUACCCUAGUAGUCC
RNAcentral lists this ribosomal RNA (450 nucleotides) under uncultured bacterium. RNAcentral describes it as "partial 16S ribosomal RNA". It matches the Rfam family "Bacterial small subunit ribosomal RNA", at positions 354 to 796 of the family's 1533-position model. The record is from RNAcentral.